GAACGGCAGCGCGGGAGCAAUCCUGGCGGCGAGUGGCGAACGGGUGAGUAAUACAUCGGAACGUGCCCAAUCGUGGGGGAUAACGCAGCGAAAGCUGUGCUAAUACCGCAUACGAUCUACGGAUGAAAGCAGGGGAUCGCAAGACCUUGCGCGAAUGGAGCGGCCGAUGGCAGAUUAGGUAGUUGGUGAGGUAAAGGCUCACCAAGCCUUCGAUCUGUAGCUGGUCUGUGAGGACGACCAGCCACACUGGGACUGAGACACGGCCCAGACUCCUACGGGAGGCAGCAGUGGGGAACUUUGGACAAUGGGCGAAAGCCUGAUCCAGCCGUGCCGCGUGCAGGAUGAAGGCCUUCGGGUUGUAAACUGCUUUUGUACGGAACGAAACGGCCUUUUCUAAUAAAGAGGGCUAAUGACGGUACCGUAAGAAUAAGCACCGGCUAACUACGUGCCAGCAGCCGCGGUAAUACGUAGGGUGCAAGCGUUAAUCGGAAUUACUGGGCGUAAAGCGUGCGCAGGCGGUUAUGUAAGACAGUUGUGAAAUCCCCGGGCUCAACCUGGGAACUGCAUCUGUGACUGCAUAGCUAGAGUACGGUAGAGGGGGAUGGAAUUCCGCGUGUAGCAGUGAAAUGCGUAGAUAUGCGGAGGAACACCGAUGGCGAAGGCA
Molecule: ribosomal RNA, 664 nt
Filed under: uncultured beta proteobacterium
Lineage: Bacteria; Pseudomonadati; Pseudomonadota; Betaproteobacteria
Description: bacterial SSU rRNA
Rfam family: Bacterial small subunit ribosomal RNA
Source: RNAcentral